UACAGAGGGGGCAAGCGUUAUUCGGAAUUAUUGGGCGUAAAGGGCGCGUAGGCGGCCUUUCAAGUGGCGGGUGAAAUCCCUCGGCUUAACCGAGGAACUGCCUGCCAGACUGGAAGGCUUGAGACCGGGAGAGGUGAGUGGAAUUCCCAGUGUAGCGGUGAAAUGCGUAGAUAUUGGGAGGAACACCAGUGGCGAAGGCGGCUCACUGGACCGGUACUGACGCUGAGGCGCGAAAGCGUGGGGAGCAAACAGG
Molecule: ribosomal RNA, 253 nt
Filed under: uncultured Acidobacteriota bacterium
Lineage: Bacteria; Pseudomonadati; Acidobacteriota
Description: uncultured Acidobacteria bacterium partial 16S ribosomal RNA
Rfam family: Bacterial small subunit ribosomal RNA
Source: RNAcentral